UCAUUCUUUUGAAUAUCUCGUACUCGUUCGCUGCCCAUAUUUGCUCGAACAAGUUCUGAAACAAGUAUCAAAAUUAAUAUACAUUGUAUGUGAUUUUCUGUCCUGUGUUCAAGAAUCUCUUUGACUCGCCUGUUGGAAUUGUAUAGGCAUUUUUGUAUACUUAUUCACUGUACAAGCGUACUCGAAUUGCUCCGGAGUGAUCCCCAUGUCUUCCAUGAAACAACCAAGCAAUAAGUCCACCAGAUUUUUGUACUCCUGAUAUAUCUUUUGAUACUCAUCGUUUUCCUCGACGUCCGCUUCAAAUACUGUAAAAAAAAAGAAAAAAAAACAAAAGCAAGAAAAAGACAAAAUAAUGGAACAAAGUAUAGCGAACGCUUGUGAGAAAGCAGAAGUAGAUUUAAAAAGGAAAAAAAAGAAGAAUUUCAUCUUAAGGAGCAUCGAUCUUAAAGAAGAGAUAGAGAUUAUAGACUACACAGAAAGGUUUAUUGCGAAAAUAUCUCGACUUACUGAGUGACUUCUCUUCGAUGAAAGUGAUCAGAGGCGCGGACCAAAUUGGACCCUGAAGAAAACCUAUCAGGGAAUCGAAGACCCAAGCGCUGUCGUCUUUGUCGUUCAUUCUAACGUGAUACGGAGGAUUUUUUCUUACUAUCACUAAUCGAUUCCUUUGGAAUUUUCUUCGAUUUCGUCGAAACAAAGUUUGUGAUACGCGUACGUAUUAUUGGUGUCUCCUUUUAAGCGUAGUCAUAGUUACUAUACGGCAAAACACUUUACUUUAGACUUGCGCGAACGAACAGAAGCGAUAUCUAAAAUAGAUAGAAAUCUACACGUUUGAAUUUUCUUUAUUAAAGAAUAACAUUUUUACAGGAUAGGUAUAAUAUUAAUUACAUACAAAACAUCCUUGAUUCACAUUCUGGUGUUCUUUAUUUAUUAUACGCAACUUGCUCGCUAUGUAAGACUCUCCCCGUUCUGUAAAACAACUAAUUUAUGUUACUUGUUUAUAAUAAAAAAAAAGAUAGAGAGA
Bombus pyrosoma is the source of this 1021-nucleotide long non-coding RNA. RefSeq lists it as uncharacterized. Lineage: Eukaryota; Metazoa; Arthropoda; Insecta; Hymenoptera; Apidae. The transcript has 2 exons. The record is from RefSeq and is a predicted model, not a curated record.